RNAcentral lists this ribosomal RNA (505 nucleotides) under uncultured bacterium. RNAcentral describes it as "partial 16S ribosomal RNA". It matches the Rfam family "Bacterial small subunit ribosomal RNA", at positions 28 to 507 of the family's 1533-position model. The record is from RNAcentral.
GACGAACGCUGGCGGCGUGCCUAAUACAUGCAAGUCGAACGCACAGUUUAUACCGUAGCUUGCUCCACCAUAGACUGUGAGUUGCGAACGGGUGAGUAACGCGUAGGUAACCUGCCUGGUAGCGGGGGAUAACUAUUGGAAACGAUAGCUAAUACCGCAUAAUAUUAAUUAUUGCAUGAUAAUUAAUUGAAAGGUGCAAUUGCACCACUACCAGAUGGACCUGCGUUGUAUUAGCUAGUAGGUGAGGUAACGGCUCACCUAGGGUACGAUACAUAGCCGACCAGAGAGGCUGAGCGGCCACACUGAGACGGGGACACGGCCCAGACUCCUACGGGAGGCAGCAGUAGGGAACCUUCGGGAAUGGAAGAAAGGCUGAACGAUCAACGCCGCGUGAGUGAAGAAGGGUGUCGGAUCGUAAAGCUCUGUUGUAAGAGAAGAACGGGUGUGAGAGUGGAAAGUUCACACUGUGACGGUAUCUUACCAGAAAGGGACGGCUAACUACGUG